Vespula vulgaris is the source of this 1618-nucleotide long non-coding RNA. RefSeq lists it as uncharacterized. Lineage: Eukaryota; Metazoa; Arthropoda; Insecta; Hymenoptera; Vespidae. The transcript is spliced from 2 exons. The record is from RefSeq and is a predicted model, not a curated record.
AAUUCACUUCGAUAUCUAUACAUUUUUUGAACGCGAUAUAGAAUAAUAUAAAGUAGACAAACGUUAUUAUAAGCGUAGGUACAUAUAGUUGGCGCUCCUUGGUCACGUGACGCGAUUUAACCGAGCCCGACGAAGGCGUCCUUAAGAUCUAUCUCCUACCAUUCGUAUGUUUGCGCAACGGAAGCAACAAAUUAUCAAUUUGUUAUCGGAUUUAAACUGUCUCUUCUAAACGUAGAAUAAUGUAAUCGUUACUUGUCAUCAGAUUCAUAUACUUAUUAAAAAAAGGGAAAAAAAUACGUACAUGUAUGCAUAUAUAUAUGUAUAUAAUGAAAUUAUUAUGUAUAUAUAUACACCCCCACCCCCCACACACACAUACAUAUAAAUAUACAUAUAUAAUAAAAUUGUUACUAUUAAGAAUAUUAUAUCAUUUUCUAGAUUUAUUAUAUAUUAUAUAUUUGUUAUAUAUACAUAAUAAAAUUGUUAUUAUUAAGAAUAUUAUAUUAUUAAGAAUAUUAAAAUAGUAUAUUAAGAAUUGUUAUAUUAUCUAUUGUUAUGUUAUUAUAUAAUAUUAUGUAAUUAUUAUAUUAUAUACUACAUUAGAUUAUUCGACUCGUUUUCGUUAGAUCAUCGAUUUCAACUUGUCGAAUUAAUUGAUGGAAUCAUUAAAGAAGCAUAUAUACAUACAUAUCUCUUUUUCUUUCAUAAAAAGAGAGAAAGAGAAAAGACAUAAAAAUCGAGGAGUGUCAACGCGAUCUCUUUCUCUCUCUGUUUCUCUCGUUCUCUUUCUUUUACGUCGUUAUCGCUCCCACGUAUAUUUCAUGGAAGAUACUUUUCAGACCGACGUCUUAUCUCGAAGGAUUCGUUCUUAUCGACUUACGUUGAACGAAGGAAAGAGAAAAAGAGACAGACAGACAGACAGAUUGAAAGAGAGAGAGAGAAAGACAGACAGAGAGAGAGAGAGAGAGAGAGAGAGAGAGAGAGAAAGGGAGAGAGAGAGAAAGAGAGAAACAGAGGGAGAGAGGGAGAGAGAAACGGAGAGAGAGAGAAGAUCUGAGUGACGUCUCGAUUCUGGUUCGUCUCAUCUUUGUAGAUGAUGCGAACACCGAAACCAGUUUUCAAUUUCUCACCUACACAUGCGCGCCCACGAUUUGUUGGCGCGAUCUUGAACGUAUUAUAUGAAUAAUACAUGUUUCUUAUAUGAAUUUAUAUAUAUAUAUAUAUAUAUAUAUAUAUAUAUAUAUAUAUAUAAGCAUCAAAGUACAUCUAUCUAUGUACAUAUAGAUAUACAUGUAUACGUAGGUUUAUAUAAAUAUGCACGUAAUUGUGAAGAUGUUCCAAGUAAAGAAUAUUAGAUACUAUUUAAUGAAUAUCAUUUUGUUUUAUUUUUAACACUGUAUCAAAUUUUACAAUUAAAAAAUCUCAUUGAUAAUAUCAGUGGUUCAUAGAGUGUGGCGAAGUUAAGUAAAAACACGUGUUUCGCAUCUGUUUCGUGAUUCGCGCACGCGUCUGAGAUGUUGAAGAUGGGGAUAGAAAACGAGUGUGAGAGGAGAGAGAGAGAGAGAGAGAGAGAGAGAGAGAGAGAGAGAGAGAAAGAGAGAGAGAGAGAGAGAAAGGAAAA